Molecule: long non-coding RNA, 401 nt
Organism: Mytilus trossulus (common blue mussel)
Lineage: Eukaryota; Metazoa; Mollusca; Bivalvia; Mytilida; Mytilidae
Exons: 3
Source: RefSeq, a predicted model, not a curated record
GUGCUAUUCAUGUGCCAACUUUGGGCACUGGGCUAGAGAUUGCCGAGCUAAGGACAAAAAAUCUGGAUACAGAGGAGGUGCCGUUUAAAGAGUAUGGACCACACAGUGACAUUUUUCAGAAAACGUUCGUCACUGGACAUGGUAUUAUUUGGUCAUCGGACUAUGUUUGUACAGAUGUACUUUGUCACCGGACCUACACUGGAAGUGUACUUGCCUACUUGGUCACUGGACCCCUGAGAAGUAUUUUAUUUGGUCAUUGGACCUUUUUUGUGUUCACCACUGGGUGAUAGUUGGUCACUGGGCCACAUCUGGCCAUUAGAGAUCGUAUGUUAAUUGAAUGAACUGAUGUCAUUGUGUAUUAUUUGAAUGAACUGAUACCAUAGUGGUGAAAACAAUUUGAG